RNAcentral lists this ribosomal RNA (254 nucleotides) under uncultured bacterium. RNAcentral describes it as "partial 16S ribosomal RNA". It matches the Rfam family "Bacterial small subunit ribosomal RNA", at positions 524 to 776 of the family's 1533-position model. The record is from RNAcentral.
UACGUAGGGUGCGAGCGCUGUCCGGAAUUAUUGGGCGUAAAGAGCUCGUAGGCGGUGUGUCGCGUCGGCCGUGAAAACCUGGGGCUCAACUCUGGGCGUGCGGUCGAUACGGGCAUCACUUGAGUUCGGCAGGGGAGACUGGAAUUCCUGGUGUAGCGGUGAAAUGCGCAGAUAUCAGGAGGAACACCGGUGGCGAAGGCGGGUCUCUGGGCCGAAACUGACGCUGAGGAGCGAAAGCGUGGGGAGCGAACAGG